Molecule: ribosomal RNA, 413 nt
Filed under: uncultured bacterium
Lineage: Bacteria
Description: bacterial SSU rRNA
Rfam family: Bacterial small subunit ribosomal RNA
Source: RNAcentral
GUGGGGAAUUUUUGACAAUGGGGGAAACCCUGAUCAAGCAACGCCGCGUGGAUGAUGAAGUACCUCGGUACGUAAAAUCCUUUCGACAGGGAAGAAGCCUUCGGGUUGACGGUACCUGUAGAAGAAGCCCCGGCUAACUCCGUGCCAGCAGCCGCGGUAAUACGGGGGGGGCAAGCGUUGUUCGGAUUUACUGGGCGUAAAGGGCGCGUAGGCGGUUUGUUAAGUCGGAUGUGAAAACUCUGGGCUCAACCCAGAGCCUGCAUCCGAUACUGGCAGACUAGAGUGCGAGAGGGGAAAGCGGAAUUCCUGGUGUAGCGGUGAAAUGCGUAGAUAUCAGGAGGAACACCGGCGGCGAAGGCGGCUUUCUGGAUCGCAACUGACGCUGAGGCGCGAAAGCUAGGGGAGCAAACAGG